This 472-nucleotide ribosomal RNA is filed under the name uncultured bacterium. RNAcentral describes it as "bacterial SSU rRNA". It matches the Rfam family "Bacterial small subunit ribosomal RNA", at positions 335 to 799 of the family's 1533-position model. The record is from RNAcentral.
ACUCCUACGGGAGGCAGCAGUGGGGAAUAUUGCACAAUGGGCGCAAGCCUGAUGCAGCCAUGCCGCGUGUGUGAAGAAGGCCUUCGGGUUGUAAAGCACUUUCAGUCGUGAGGAAGGUAGUGUAGUUAAUAGCUGCAUUAUUUGACGUUAGCGACAGAAGAAGCACCGGCUAACUCCGUGCCAGCAGCCGCGGUAAUACGGAGGGUGCGAGCGUUAAUCGGAAUUACUGGGCGUAAAGCGCAUGCAGGUGGUUUGUUAAGUCAGAUGUGAAAGCCCGGGGCUCAACCUCGGAAUAGCAUUUGAAACUGGCAGACUAGAGUACUGUAGAGGGGGGUAGAAUUUCAGGUGUAGCGGUGAAAUGCGUAGAGAUCUGAAGGAUACCGGUGGCGAAGGCGGCCCCCUGGACAGAUACUGACACUCAGAUGCGAAAGCGUGGGGAGCAAACAGGAUUAGAUACCCUGGUAGGAUAGCG